AGGCUUUUAGGUUAGUUUUGCAUUUGAUUCAAAUUUGGGUAUAAGUUUGGGGUUAAAAUCAAGUUGUGGGUUAGUUUUGGCAAAAAUCCCUUUUUAAAAUGGGCCAAAAAAUAUUUUUGAUUCAGGGCCAAAAUAUAUCAAGUCCGUCCCUGUUCUUUAGUAUCACGAAUAACCUUUUUUUAUCUUACGUAUUAAAAUAAAAGUCAUGACUUAAUUCAUGUGUGAUUUUUUUAUCUGGAACAUUUAUUACAAAAAUAGUUUAAUUAAAUUUUGCAUAUAUAUUUUUAUUAUUUUAAUUUUUCUAAAAAAUCAAAUAGAUAUUCUUAUAUUUUCUCUGAAUUGCAUCUGAAUAAAAUAUUUUCAUAUCUUUUUCUUACAAUAUAAAUAUAUAUAUCAUUUUUCAAAAAGCAAGCAUUUAAAAUACUUAAUUACUUUCGUAUUUAUUUAAAAUAUAAAUAAAUAUUUCGUUUUUCACUUAAACAAACCUUAUAAAUAUUUAAUUAAUUUUGUUAUUUAAAAUAUACAUUUAUAUUUUAUUUUUACUAAAAUAAACCUUUUAAGUAUCUAACUAAUUUUGUCAUUAUAUUGAACUCAUGUAAGAUUUUGAAUUAAAUUUGUGAUAUGAAUUUAACAUAAUAUUUAUUAAUUAAAUCUUUGAUCUCUAACAUUUAAAAUUUGUUAAUUUAGAAUUUUGUGCCACACUGUUGAAAAUAUGCUAUCAAUAUGAAUGAUCAGUCUACAAAUGCUAUUUUGAAAGUGCAUUUAGUUGAUGUUAUUAAAUAUAAUGGCCGGUUUAAUUUUAUAUUUCAAUAGUAGAAGUAUAUGAUUGCGUUGUUUACUAAAAGAUAAUCAAACUUAUUUUUAUAUAGACCAUUUUCCUAUUAUUCAUUAAUGUAAUUGUUUGUUUGUUUUAUUUUGUGCAAUUUUGAAAGUGCAAUAGGUAUUGCACCAAUUUAUGUCAUUAACAUAAAUGAUAGAUGAAUGAUUGAAAAAAUAUAUUUCAUGUGAAUAGUUUUAUUUUCAUUGUGUUUAUUAUCAAAUGUAUUUGUUGAUUUAAGUGUUAAUUAUAUAAUGUGAUGUAUGAUAGAUUGAAAAUAAAAGUUUUAAUAUUGAAAUAUUCAUUGUAAAUAAUCCAAGAGUUCUGGGGGAGAAAAGUCUAAAUCACCAAUAGACAAUAUAAGAAACCUCAAAAAAAUAGAUAAUAAAUAGAAAAUUCAUGUUUAAAAAGACAAAAACAAACAAAAUGCAUUACAAAUUCCAGUUUAAUAAGUUAAAUGAAGCAGACAUUUAUAAAUUACACUUAUAGGUUAUUUAGCCAAAGAUUUAAUUCAUACAAAUAAUUUGAUUAAAUAUGACCAAACCUAAAAUACAAGUAUAAUCUUAUGGAAAUUAAUAUCUAAGUUAAUAUUAAAUUGAACAGAAUUUAUCGUAAAUAUCACAUAAUGUAAGGUUUUAGUUAGUGCUCAUGUUUUACUAAGAGAGAUAUCACUAAUACUUUGAAAUAAUAAAUUAAAUUAUUGCAUGCAAACUAUAAAAUUAUUGUGUUUGAGAAUAUUAUAGUAAACUAUUAGUAAUAUAGUAAAUAUUAAAAUUAUAUACCACUAAUCAUAUAAAUCAAGUAUUUAUCUAUACUAUAUUAAAAGGGAUAUAUGAGGAGUAGGGAGGGUGUCCACGUCAGACAAAAAAAUCAACCAAUCAGGUUGCAAUGUUUUGCCACGUAAGCUCUUUGUUGCCCGUGUUAUUCUUUGGCGUUUUCGUUUGGGCUUUGCGUUUUUCUCCUUUGAUCUGCUGUGUAUACGUUUGGGCCAUGGAGCCCAUCAGACUUUAGAGACAGAAAUCUGAUACCUCGCCGAGUAUGUAUGCUGAGAUCUCGCCCUUUCUCAUUUCUUCAAACCCUAACUCUUCGACAUCCCCUUUGCUCUUCCUCUUAUUUGUUCCGUUUCACGUCUGAUUCUCCAGUGCUGCCAUGAUCACGGAGUCAACUUCUUCGACAACGCCGAGGUUUACGCCAAUGGCCGAGCUGAGAAGAUCAUGGGUCUGGCGAUUCGCGAGCUGGACUGGCGGAGAUCCGACAUCGUGGUCUCCACCAAGAUCUUCUGGGGUGGUCCUGGUCCUAACGAUAAAGGUUUCUCGAGGAAACAUAUCAUCGAAGGAACCAAAGCUUCUCUCAAAAGACUCGAUAUGGACUAUGUAGAUGUCCUCUAUUGCCACAGCUUCAACAGUUUCGUCAAAAGAAGGCUGACAAAAACACUGAUCAUAAAAAGGACCCCAAGGGCAGUACAAGCCAAGGAAAUCCUCCAAAAAAUCUGGUAAGAAGCAUGAGCCUAAACCUGACACUGGUGGUGUCAGUGACGAGGCAGAAGCUCCGUCUGAUGUGGCUGUAGGAGGAGCUUCAUCUCAUGUGAAUAUUGGUGAGGAGGUUGUUGAUCCUCCACCGACUUCUGUAAAUGCAGCAGCUAACAGUGAUGUUUCAGUUGACACGCUUCAGCCAGGAAACACCACAGCAACUUCUGAUAGUGGAGAUGAACCGAGAAAAGAAGUUGCGAAUUCCGAAAAUGAUAUCAGCGUAGCAUUGUCCACGGAAGAAGAGAAUGUGAAGAGUAUCGACAUUGGAGCGGCUGGCGCAGUAGAUUCUUUGACGUCUGACCUUGCAGAUACCGAGAAGGGAGUUACACAUGACGAUGCAGAGGAGUCCCUUCUGGCCGUACGAUCUGAGUUACAAAAGAGAUCUAAUGAACUUGAACAAUCAGAACAGAGGUUAUUAUCUACUAGAGAGAAGCUUAGCAUAGCUGUUGUCACGUGUUAGCUCUGUUUGUUCUCAUAUGCAUUUUAAGACUCAGAGACAGAGAGAGCAUUAUCUGUUGUGUUUUAGUUUUUGUUGUUUCCACUUUUUAAAAACAAGUAUAAUGUUUUUGAAACUUAAAAGUUGGCUUUUAUAGUUGUUGUCAAGAGGUCAGUAGUAAUGUAGUAUAUUGAAAAGCUCAUUUAAACGA
This is an RNA transcript of Brassica napus (rape), 2993 nucleotides long. It is a transcript of the gene named probable voltage-gated potassium channel subunit beta, with no coding region annotated. The transcript has 2 exons. The record is from RefSeq and is a predicted model, not a curated record. Lineage: Eukaryota; Viridiplantae; Streptophyta; Magnoliopsida; Brassicales; Brassicaceae.